CAGCCGGCAGACGAGUGAAAAGCCAACAAUCAAGAGGAACUACAGAAUUUUCACCAACUGUCUACUGAAAAAGGGAUUGGUCUUGAAGUAUCAAGUCAACAACAUAUUGAUACCCACACUUCAACAAGUUGAUCGAUGCUUUACUCAUGGAGUUUGUUGCCAGUCUUUGGAUUAUGCCUGAUGCUGGGAGACUCGUUUGCUGUCCGGCUGCCUGACAGACUGCGACAGAAAAGGGAUGUCAACUGGCCGGACCAGGAGUUUUUCCCGGACAUGUCAGAGCUCUCUGACCUUGCCGACCGUUCUCCACCAGGAGAUGCCGGGGAGAC
Esox lucius (northern pike) is the source of this 326-nucleotide long non-coding RNA. RefSeq lists it as uncharacterized. NCBI's taxonomy places the organism in Eukaryota, Metazoa, Chordata, Actinopteri, Esociformes, Esocidae. The transcript is spliced from 4 exons. The record is from RefSeq and is a predicted model, not a curated record.